Molecule: ribosomal RNA, 785 nt
Filed under: uncultured bacterium
Lineage: Bacteria
Description: bacterial SSU rRNA
Rfam family: Bacterial small subunit ribosomal RNA
Source: RNAcentral
UCAGGAUGAACGCUGGCGGCGUGCCUAACACAUGCAAGUCGAACGGGGCGCGCAGGCUGAGGCUUUUCGGAGCGGAAGCCUGCGCUGCCCAGUGGCGGACGGGUGAGUAACGCGUGGGCAACCUGCCCUGCACUGGGGGACAACAGCCGGAAACGGCUGCUAAUACCGCAUAUGCCCGCAGCCCCGCAUGGGGCGGCGGGGGAAGCUCCGGCGGUGCAGGAUGGGCCCGCGUCUGAUUAGCUGGUUGGCGGGGCAACGGCCUACCAAGGCGACGAUCAGUAGCCGGCCUGAGAGGGUGGGCGGCCACAUUGGGACUGAGACACGGCCCAGACUCCUACGGGAGGCAGCAGUGGGGGAUAUUGCACAAUGGGGGGAACCCUGAUGCAGCGACGCCGCGUGGGCGAUGGAGUGCUUCGGCAUGUAAAGCCCUAUCAGCAGGGAAGAAAAUGACGGUACCUGACUAAGAAGCCCCGGCUAAAUACGUGCCAGCAGCCGCGGUAAUACGUAUGGGGCAAGCGUUAUCCGGAUUUACUGGGUGUAAAGGGAGCGUAGGCGGCCUGGCAAGCCUGAUGUGAAAUACCGGGGCCCAACCCCGGGGCUGCAUUGGGAACUGCCAGGCUGGAGUGCCGGAGAGGCAGGCGGAAUUCCUAGUGUAGCGGUGAAAUGCGUAGAUAUUAGGAGGAACACCAGUGGCGAAGGCGGCCUGCUGGACGGUGACUGACGCUGAGGCUCGAAAGCGUGGGGAGCAAACAAGAUUAGAUACCCUGGUAGUCCACGCCGUAAAC